RNAcentral lists this ribosomal RNA (730 nucleotides) under uncultured Bacteroidales bacterium. Its description in RNAcentral is "bacterial SSU rRNA". It matches the Rfam family "Bacterial small subunit ribosomal RNA", at positions 51 to 769 of the family's 1533-position model. The record is from RNAcentral. Lineage: Bacteria; Pseudomonadati; Bacteroidota; Bacteroidia; Bacteroidales.
ACACAUGCAAGUCGAGGGGCAGCAUUUUAGUUUGCUUGCAAACUGAAGAUGGCGACCGGCGCACGGGUGAGUAACACGUAUCCAACCUACCGAUAACUCCGGAAUAGCCUUUCGAAAGAAAGAUUAAUACCGGAUAGCAUACGAAUAUCGCAUGAUAUUUUUAUUAAAGAAUUUCGGUUAUCGAUGGGGAUGCGUUCCAUUAGUUUGUUGGCGGGGUAACGGCCCACCAAGACUACGAUGGAUAGGGGUUCUGAGAGGAAAGUCCCCCACAUUGGAACUGAGACACGGUCCAAACUCCUACGGGAGGCAGCAGUGAGGAAUAUUGGUCAAUGGGCGAGAGCCUGAACCAGCCAAGUAGCGUGAAGGAUGAAGGCUCUAUGGGUCGUAAACUUCUUUUAUAUGGGAAUAAAGUUUUCCACGUGUGGAAUUUUGUAUGUACCAUAUGAAUAAGGAUCGGCUAACUCCGUGCCAGCAGCCGCGGUAAUACGGAGGAUCCGAGCGUUAUCCGGAUUUAUUGGGUUUAAAGGGAGCGUAGGUGGAUUGUUAAGUCAGUUGUGAAAGUUUGCGGCUCAACCGUAAAAUUGCAGUUGAAACUGGCAGUCUUGAGUGCAGUAGAGGUGGGCGGAAUUCGUGGUGUAGCGGUGAAAUGCUUAGAUAUCACGAAGAACUCCGAUUGCGAAGGCAGCUCACUAGACUGUCACUGACACUGAUGCUCGAAAGUGUGGGUAUC